This 4576-nucleotide unclassified non-coding RNA is filed under the name Centruroides sculpturatus (bark scorpion). Its description in RNAcentral is "down syndrome cell adhesion molecule-like protein Dscam2, transcript variant X6". The record is from RNAcentral. Lineage: Eukaryota; Metazoa; Arthropoda; Arachnida; Scorpiones; Buthidae.
GCAUGUCAGUUAGACUGGAGCAGUCGGUUGUGCGGCCGCCAGACAGAGCAGAGACUGUCAAGGAUAGCGUGCGGUCAUGUCCCGGAAUUCGUCAUUAUAAAUCAAACCAUGUAACCAGAGUAAAAUACUCAGAUGUCCGGAUACGUACUACCAGUUCUAAUCCUGUUGCACCGCUUCUCAGUUCCGGAAGGUUUAAUUCUCGAAGGACCAACUUUUGUGGAAGAGCCACCGGGACACGUGGGUUUUAUCAACACCCAAGGUACUGAGAUACGAUGUAGAGCCCAAGGUUUACCUGCACCGUCAGUUCAGUGGUUGUUGCAGGAUAGCAGACCCGUGUCUCCUGUGCCUCAAUUGUUAGAAGUCAAGGAAGACGGCACUUUAGUUUUUCUUCCCUUUCUAACAGAGGAUUAUAGAUCAGAGAUCCAUGAUACUAUAUAUCGUUGCACCGCCAGAAACGUCAUAGGGGUUGUUAGUAGCAGAGAAGUCAGGCUAAGAGCAGCUUUAAUGCAAGAUUAUGAAGUACAAGUGUAUGAUCAGUAUGCGAUUUAUGGUACAACAACUGUGUUUCGCUGUCACGUAAAGAGUCCAAUUCGAGAUUACAUUCGUGUUACAGAAUGGAAGAUAAAUGAUAACUUAACAAUCACUGCAUCAGAAACAGAACCGAAUGUUGUGGAUAAAUAUGUUGCUUUCCCAACUGGAGAAUUACACGUGCAUCAAGUAACGCAUUCCGAUGGGCAUUCGAAAUUUAAGUGUAAAACUGUUCAUAAAUUGACUGGAGAUCGGAAAAUCAGUAAAGCUGGAGGACGUAUUGUCGUCACAGAACCUGUUGGAGGAAUGUCACCAAAAAUUAUUCAUAGUAAACCAAAAGUAUGGGCUACUCACGGCCAAACUGUGAUGCUACCCUGCGCUGCUCAAGGUCAACCUCCACCGAAUUAUACAUGGGUCAGGAAAGAGAAAGGCAGAAACACUAUGAAAAACAGGAUCCAACAGAGCAUUCACGGCACUUUAAAAAUCCCAGGAGUUAUAGCCGCUGAUAGCGGCCGUUAUAUAUGCUACGUUAAUAACAGCCAAGGUACAGAUACAGCAGAAACUGAACUGGUAGUCACAGUACCUGUAAAGGUGAAUAUAGAUCCGCAUCGUUUGGUAGUAUUAACUGGAGAAUCUGCAACUUUGACGUGUAACCAAGUGGGACAUCCCAUAGAUUCAGUGCUGUGGAUGAAAGAUUUACAUCACUUGACAGAAGAUGGACGAGUUCAAUUCGUAGGUCGAAAUGUUCUACACAUUCCAAUUGUAUGGAAGAAAGAUCAAGGAAUGUACCAGUGUUUCGUUUAUAGUUCGGGUACGACCGAACAGGCCAUUGCUCAACUAACCGUCGGGGACAUAGGUCCUGUGUUGCACGACACAUUCGGAGAGAGAAUUGUGCAUCCGGGUCAAUCUGUCAGCUUCCGGUGUAUGGCUUCCGGCCACCCCCUACCGGAAAUCACCUGGUACGUGAACAGACAACCAAUCGUCAAUGAGGAAAACUUGAAAGUAAGCGAUUAUGUCACAUCCCAAGGCCAAGUUGUCAGUAUGAUCAAUUUGACAGACGUCACUGUCAAUGACAGCGGUCUUUAUGAAUGCAUGGCUCAAAGCAGUGUUGGUAGAGCCAAUCAUGUAGCUAGAUUAAAUGUCUAUGGACCUCCAGGGAUUCGCCCAAUGGCUAAUGUCACUGUUAUAGAAGGUCAGAAUCUAUAUUUGGAAUGCCCCGUGACGGGUUAUCCUUUGGAUUCUAUUACGUGGGAAAAAGGUGGAAUCGAGCUUCCUCUAGCUAGAAGACAUUACACGUAUCCCAACGGUACUUUAUUGGUGCAAGAAGUACAGAAAGAUUACGAUCAGGGAUCUUAUACAUGCGUCGUUCGUAGUCAAGGAAUAUCUCAAAAGAGAUCGGUAGCAGUAAUUAUUACAAAGCCACCGAAAAUAAUCCCUUUCGAAACUCCGCGUGUACGUGAAGGUACAUUAGUGGUUCUGACGUGUGCCAUUAAUCAAGGCGAUCCACCUUUUGAUUUGCAAUGGUUCAAGAAUGGGCAAUCGGUAAUUGCAGAAAUUGGAUUGACUGUUCAAAGACACGAUAUGUUUUCUAUUUUGGUAUUUUCCGAAGUUAAACGUCAUCACGCUGGCAAUUACACAUGUUUAGCUAAGAAUGCAGGAGGUUCUGCAUCACACAGCGCUCUCUUGAUCGUAGACGUUCCUCCUCACUGGCUGAUAGAACCUGAAAAUGCAUCAGUUAUCUUAGGCCAAUCAAUAACAUUGGAUUGUAAAGCCGAAGGACUUCCUCCUCCGACUAUCGUCUGGAAAAAAAGUCAAGGAAUCAUGGCAAGGGAAUUCGAACCAGUAUAUAAUAGUUACAAUUACAUUCUCUAUGGAAACGGAUCACUAGGAAUUAGAGAAGUGGAAUCCGCAAACAGUGGUUACUAUCUAUGUCAAGCCAAUAACAACGUUGGUGCAGCUAUCAGCAAACUAGUAACAAUAACUGUUCACACUCCUCCCCAGUUUGAAACAGAGCACACAGUAGAAACAUUUCGCCUUCACUCUUCACUAGAACUUUUAUGUUCAGCCAGCGGAGAAUUACCUUUAGAAGUGACUUGGAGCAAAGAUGGAGUGACCAUAUCCAAUCGAACAGACGACACAUUUCGUUUCGGGUUUCAAGAAAUAAAUACUGGUAUUGAAGCUACUCUAAUUAAAUCUAAAGUUGUAGGAAACGAUUCUGGUUUAUAUGCUUGCACAGUAGGGAAUGCUUAUGGUGUUUCUGAAGCAACAUUUCAAGUUAUAGUGCAAGAGGCUCCAGCAUCACCUUCCAAUAUCGAAGUGGUAGCUAAAACAGGAAGGAGUUUAACCAUCUCGUGGCAAGAACCAUUUGGAGGACAUAGCGCAAUUACGGGAUACAUUGUUCUAUAUAAAAUAAAAGGAGGAGACAAGUGGCAAAAUAUCAGUAUAUCUGGAAUUUCCACUACAGCUACAAUAUCUGGCUUACAACCCGCUACGUAUUAUAUUUUGCGCGUUUUAGCAGAAAAUGCCAUAGGCAAAAGUAAUUUAAGUAAAAUUAUAACAACCUCAACGGACGAAGAAGUACCCGGAGGGCCGCCGCUACGAAUAAAAGCAUCACCUACAGGACCCAAUUCUAUUAAAGUAUCAUGGGAGCCUCCUAAUAAAUCACUGUGGAAUGGCAACAUCACAGGAUAUUUUAUUGGGUACAAAAUCCUUUCGUCUAACGAUCAAGCCUUGUUUAAAACCAUUAACCUGAGUUCGGGAAAAGAGUUAGAAGUUCAUCUGACUAAUUUAAGAAGAUCUACUAAAUAUUCUGUUUCCGUUCAGGCUUUUAAUGGGAAAGGAACUGGACCUCGAUCCGAUGAGUUGGUAGUUCAGACAUUAGCAGAUGUACCUCCAACUGCUCCAUUUCUUCACAUUGUGACAUCAACUACUUCAUCCAUUACUCUUAGCUGGUCUCAUAAAAGGACGUUUUCAAGUCCCGUAAAAGAGUGCGUCCUCCAUCACAAGAGGGAAUAUGGAGAAUGGAAAGAAACCAAAGUCAUCACUCAAACCAGUACUUAUACCAUUUCAAGCCUAGAUUGUGGCACCCGUUAUCAAUUCUUCAUGGUUUGCCACAAUAGCGUAGGAAGAAGUGAACCUAGUGAAAUUGUUCAGGCCACAACAUCUGGUGCAGCACCAGUAUCACCUUCUAAAGAAGAUUUUGUCCAACCGAAUUCGACUUCAUCCAUUCUUCACCUAUCCAGUUGGCAAAAUGGAGGAUGCCCUAUCAAAGAGUUCACACUCAAGCUCAAACCUAAAUAUAAAAGUCAGUGGUCAUCUUUGGAAACUAAAUUGCCGUCUGAUCAAUCAAAAUAUGUGAUACAGUCUUUAACUCCUGGAACUUGGUACUCAAUAAAAGUAACUGCCUAUAGCAGUGCAGGAGCCACUGAAGCCCAAUACGAGUUUCAGACUUCAAACGAAACGGAAGUUAUUGAAAUUCAUCAGCCUCAAUCCUCAGAACUCGCCCCGUUCUAUUUAGAGAUUACGUUUCUGAUCCCCGUUAUCACCUCAUCUGUUAUUGUUAUCAUUAUCAUUAUUGUUGGUUGCGUUUUAUGUAGGAGGCGAAAUUCGCACAGAAGCACGAUAAGCAGUGUUAUUUUACUUAUUGUAGAUGGUUCCGGAAGCUCAAAAUCUCGCCAAGGAGGUCUGGAAGCCAUGGCAUUGAAAGACAUAACUAACAACGGUUCAAAUCAACAGCCAAUAGGAAUCUCAGGAGAUGACGUCAGCCGUCCCGUAUCAUCCGUGUGGCAGGCACCAGAGAAGAAACACAUUGUUACGCCACACCGUAUGACACAAUACCCGAGAUGUCAGUGGGAGAUCAAACACCAAUAUCCAUCGUUCGGACAUUAAAUCGUCCAACAGUUCGAGACAAAAAAGGAGACAACUUGUACAUCACCAGGCAGCUCUUCCAAGAUCGACCGUAUGAGGCCUUGAAGGCUGACGUCCAACCACCGUUUCCCUUAUUUAGGGUGGAAGACGUCUGAUCCAUCGCCAAAAUGUUCUUUCUAAC